This 259-nucleotide long non-coding RNA is filed under the name Capsicum annuum. RNAcentral describes it as "long non-coding RNA (CANN_LNC000975)". The record is from RNAcentral. Lineage: Eukaryota; Viridiplantae; Streptophyta; Magnoliopsida; Solanales; Solanaceae.
GGAGAUAUUGUAAGACCCCGCAAAGUUUCCUCAUCGUUCAAGUGUUAGAGCGUGUUAAGAAAAGUGUAAUUUAUGCCCUAAAAGAUUGAGAAAAGACUUCCCAAGUAAUUGGUAUUUAAAACAUAUAAAAUUUUAUUAAACUUGGGUUAUUGUCAUGUAGAUAAUUGAAUUAGCUUUCCAAAGAUACCAAUUUCAUCCAAAUCCUGUAUCGGGGUGAGAGGUUAUGGACAUUUUACUGAGAGUUAUCAAAACAACCCUG